Molecule: ribosomal RNA, 460 nt
Filed under: uncultured bacterium
Lineage: Bacteria
Description: partial 16S ribosomal RNA
Rfam family: Bacterial small subunit ribosomal RNA
Source: RNAcentral
CCUACGGGAGGCAGCAGUGAGGAAUAUUGGUCAAUGGGCGGAAGCCUGAACCAGCCAAGUAGCGUGCAGGAUGACGGUCCUACGGGUUGUAAACUGCUUUUAUACGGGAAUAACGCGCCUUACGUGUAGGGCUUUGCAUGUACCGUAAGAAUAAGGAUCGGCUAAUUCCGUGCCAGCAGCCGCGGUAAUACGGAAGGUCCGGGCGUUAUCCGGAUUUAUUGGGGUUAACGGGUGCGCAGGCCGCAUGUCAAGCGUGCUGUUAAAUUUACGGGCUCAACCCGGGCCGUGCGGCGGAAACUGGCUUGCUUGAGUGCGCGAAAAGUAGGCGGAAUUCGUGGUGUAGCGGUGAAAUGCUUAGAUAUGACGAAGAACCCCGAUUGCGAAGGCAGCUUGCUGGAGCGGAACUGACGCUGAUGCUCGAAAGCGCGGGUAUCGAACAGGAUUAGAUACCCUGGUAGUC